CCUACGGGAGGCUGCAGUGGGGAAUAUUACGCAAUGGGCGAAAGCCUGACGCAGCGACGCCGCGUGAGGGAUGAAGGCCUUCGGAUUGUAAACCUCUGUCAGCAGGGAGGAAAGGUCCCUGUGCUAUUCAGUAGUGCAUUGACGGUACCUACAAAGGAAGCACCGGCUAACUCCGUGCCAGCAGCCGCGGUAAUACGGAGGGUGCGAGCGUUAGUCGGAAUUACUGGGCGUAAAGCGCACGUAGGCGGUAUGUUAAGUCCAGGGUGAAAUCCCCGGGCUUAACGUGGGAACUGCCUUUGAAACUGGCAAGCUGGAGUGCGUGAGAGGAUAGUGGAAUUCCAGGUGUAGGAGGGAAAUGCGUAGAUAUCUGGAGGAACACC
RNAcentral lists this ribosomal RNA (380 nucleotides) under uncultured bacterium. RNAcentral's name for it is "partial 16S ribosomal RNA". It matches the Rfam family "Bacterial small subunit ribosomal RNA", at positions 338 to 710 of the family's 1533-position model. The record is from RNAcentral.